Paramuricea clavata is the source of this 1158-nucleotide non-coding RNA. The record is from the annotation of a GenBank genome assembly. Lineage: Eukaryota; Metazoa; Cnidaria; Anthozoa; Malacalcyonacea; Plexauridae.
AGAGCUAUUGCUGUGGGGGCCUGUGGUGUUCCCAGUUAUCAAGUCAAUGACGGUGCUGUCAUCUGGGGUCAAGAUCGCCUAAAUACUGUUGCAGAUUUACUUUGUGGAUGGAAAGAUCCAGUGCAAAAUUCCAUCAGCAAACUGUAGUAAGAGAAAUCAUUACGUUGGCUUUUGUAAAUACCGGAGACAUUGUAAUUUUAUGAUAACUAUAUGUUUUACAUUUCAUAAAGGACAAUAAAAGUAUAUCUAUACUUGACCAAAUUUAACUCUCCUUGGAUCACUAACGUUCGUAGCAUUCCUCCUUGGAUGACGUAAUACCCUUAUAUCUUUCGAAGAGAGGCUAAGUGCAUUAAAACGAGACAUAUUGUCCCACUAUUUCCCCAUGCAGUAGUACAACCUUGGUUUUCAGCUAUAUGACUACAUCACUAUGACUACAUGAUUAUGACUACAUGAUUAUGGCUGUAUGACUAUAUAGAAUAGUUUUUAUAGAAUAGUUUAUGUGGUAAAUCACAAUUUAUAAUACUUCUCGGCUUAAAUAAGCUGCAGCCUAAAUGAGUCACGAACAACGGAGACAAUGUAAUUUUAUAAUAACUAUUGUACAUUUCAUAAAGGACAAUAAAAGUAUAUCUAUACUUGACCAAAUUUAACUCUCCUUGAAUCACUAACGUUCGUAGCAUUCCUCCUUGGAUGACGUAAUACCUAUAGAGGCGCGGUUAAGUGCAUUAAAACGAGACAUAUUGUCCCACUAUUUCCCCAUGCAGUAGAACAUUGGUUUUCGGCUAUAUGACUACAUCACUAUGACUACAUGAUUAUGGCUACAUGAUUAUGGCUGUAUGACUAUAUAGAAUAGUUUUUAUAGAAUAGUUUAUUUGGUUAGUCACAAUUGUUAUGGGAAAUAGUUAUAAUACUUCUCGGCUUAGAUAAGCUGCAGCCUAAAUGAGUCACGAACAGCUCGUAUAAACAGUCAAUUUUCAUUAAGAAAUACCUUUUACUCGAAAUAAAACCGCGAGAUCAAUUUAUUCGUAAUAAGCUCAGAGGUAUAAAAGCUAGUCCAAAAUAAUCUGUUACUUAAAAAUUAUCAACUGCGGGUUCUCAGCAAGUUUUAAUUUUUAAAGCCACCCGCCAUCCAAUCUGAUGCAUGCAUCUAGUAACUUGCCG